Molecule: long non-coding RNA, 1095 nt
Filed under: Equus caballus (horse)
Lineage: Eukaryota; Metazoa; Chordata; Mammalia; Perissodactyla; Equidae
Description: lncRNA (ENSECAG00000052829.1)
Source: RNAcentral
UUUGAGAUAAACAAAUUAUUCAUAGAACCUGAUAAUGGAAGAUUUCAUUUUGCUUUUCUUCAGGAAAAAAAAAACAACAACCCAGAAUCUCAAAAUUUUUGUAUACUCUCUAAACCUGAAUCCAUAGACAAACAACUGUACCUCUUUGUUUCUCAGAUUCCAUUGGUCCCAGAGCUUCAAACUCUAAGAGGCUCCUAUCUAAGUUUAGACAAUUUCUUUACAGUGGACACACAUACGAAGACUUCUAAACUUUACUACUCAAAGGCUUAUCCAUGGGCCAGUAGCAAUCUCAUUACAGGGGAGUUUUUAGAAAUGCAGAAUCUCAGGACCUGCAUCAAACCUCCUUAAUCUGAAUCUGCAUUUUGACAAAAUUUCCAGGUAAUUCGUAUGCAUAUAAAAGUUUGAGAAGCACUAGGUUAAGACAUAAUGAAGAACAUAUUUUUGAUCCCUUCAUCAGUUACUUUCUGUGAUCCUUGGCCACAGGCCCCAUCAUAAAAACAGGUGAAAAUAUUAAUGGCAUAAUAUGUUUAGCCCAUUCCCAAAAAAACAUAUAUGCACGUGUGGGUAUUUAGAUAUGCACUAUAAUUUAAAAAUCCUGGAUUUGCUACUAACCCUAUUUUGAGAAACUCAAAGAGUAUGUCUUAUGAACCCUGAGAAAGUGGCUCUAUUAUUCAGUAGGCUAUUAAUUUCACACUAGAUCUCUAUAUUAAAUCACACCUGCUGAGUUAAUGAUAAUAUCAUGUGUGAUACACUGUCUAUCUUGAGAGAUGACAGGUACAAAAUGCUCUGGGUGUACUGUAUAUUCGUAGAGCACACAAGAAUGAUAAAUUGAUAGCUAUUCUCCCCCGUGAAUCUCUUCCAAAGCUGGAUUCUCCUCUCUCAACAGCAACUCCCUCCUGUUUGAGUUCUUGUAAAAAUUAGCUUCCCUACAGAUCAGUGUGACCAUCCUGGAUGAAGAGAGAAUUCAAGGGCCACAAAAUCAAAAGCCUGAGAAGUUCAUCUACAAAAGAGCUCUGGACACAUGUGCUUUUCUACAUCCUGAGCUAUGCCUGCCCUCCUGGGACUCAUGGAUACCGUUUACAGACCACAGAGAUC